Molecule: non-coding RNA, 431 nt
Organism: Vigna umbellata (rice bean)
Lineage: Eukaryota; Viridiplantae; Streptophyta; Magnoliopsida; Fabales; Fabaceae
Source: RefSeq, a predicted model, not a curated record
UUCAUCUAUCUUUAUUCACUCAACCUUUUUUCUGCAAUGAUAUUUGGCAAUUAACGUUGCUCGAGAAGGAAGCCGAACUUACAGAAGAGAACCAGAAACUGAAGCAGAAGUUGGUUCGAGAACAAUGUUAUGAGUCAAUCACUAGCAGUUCGUCUGAUUUUCCUCUAGACAAUGGUAGUUCUGACACAUCUCUCAAGUUGGGGCUGUGUUUAUUUGAAUGAAAUGGUUCAAGUGAACAGAUUAGCUUCCAUUUCUGUAUGAAAGACAAGAUCAGUGUUGUUUUUGGAAUUUGACAAACAAUUUGCUUUUGAGAGUAGCAGCUGGAAAAAUUUCACAGCUGGGGCAACUUAUUUUGUAACCUAAACAGAACCUCGUACUUGUCAUUAUGCCAUCGUGGCAGCUUAAACAGAUAGGAAUGGUUAUUUAUAAUU